This 87-nucleotide non-coding RNA is filed under the name Bacillus testis. RNAcentral describes it as "Purine riboswitch". It matches the Rfam family "Purine riboswitch aptamer", at positions 5 to 91 of the family's 102-position model. Rfam says of the family: Riboswitches are metabolite binding domains within certain messenger RNAs that serve as precision sensors for their corresponding targets. Allosteric rearrangement of mRNA structure is mediated by ligand binding, and this results in modulation of gene expression. Lineage: Bacteria; Bacillati; Bacillota; Bacilli; Caryophanales; Bacillaceae. The record is from RNAcentral.
AAAUAUAUUUUGCUAGUCGUAUAUCUUUGGGGAUAUGGCCCAAAAGUUUCUACCAAGCUGCCAUGAACGGCUUGACUACGAUGAAUG